AAGUUGAUAAAGCAAGCGUUUUCCAAUAACGCAAAACGUUAGUAUCCUCAGUUUUAAAGUUGUAUUCCAGUAAGGCUUUUCUAUUAUACCAAUGUCCUCUUUUACCCACCAAAUAUAUAUUUUGAGAUAAAAGGGUAUCUAAUAUUUCAUGUUCAACCUCAACUAAUCGCGACUUCGCGAGAAUAUUUAGACUUUUAUGUAUUAAGUAUGUGUAAACAGCACCAGGACGAAAGCUAAAAGAAAACCUUACCAAUCGAGUAUCUACUUUUCUAUUUUCUUCCACCCAAAAUUCCCUAAUGUCUUCAUUUAGAUAUGUCGACCAUAUAGGAUAUAUUUCAAAAAAACUGUUCAACGCUUGUUCGAGUGCUUCCUUAUCCGAAGCGGCAGUGUUUUCAAAGAUUGGAACCAAGUUUUUUGAAAGUUCUAAAACCUCAACGUAUUCAAGGCAUUGAGCACGACAAUUAAAGACGUUUGAAGUUCGCGAUAAAACGUAAUUCGGGUAGGAAAAUUUGUUAAGGCGUGCUAAUAUUAAAGACGUAAGCGAUUGUUCAUCAUAAAUGGACGAACGAAAGUACACAAUAUUAAUUCGAUGAAAUAGGUCUACUAAAAUUUUCUUUGGUUUCACACAGGAUUUGCAUUGAUAUAAUAGUUGCUUCCGAAGAAACGACUCUUGCUUAUGCAUCACACCAAAAGCAUCAAAGGACAAAAAUUGUUGACCAUUACAAUGUAGUACUGAUUGUCUUUUAGAUAGGAAAAUGAUUUCUUUUGAAAUUUCAGACCUGCUUUUUCCACACACCUUCGUUUGUCUAGCUAACGAACGCAAUUCAUCGAGAGAUAGAAUUUCAAUUAUUUCUUCAGUUGACAUGAGUGAUUCAUCUUCAAAAAAAUUUUUCAGAACAAGCUGCUUACAGCAGGCAAUAACAUCCUUGCAAUCUGGAUAAGUCAAAUGGCCCACGCGGAACCAUUUAUUUCUUUUACGCAUGAAUAGACGAACAAACAAGUACCGUUCAUCCGAGUCUAAAGCUUUAAAGUUUUCAAUAACCCUCAACUCAUCAUCAGUAAAGAUAUGCGGUUCACAAUCGAGGACGGUGUUUAGGAUUUCUUCGAACCCCAGCAGAUACAUUGAAUUUUUAGUAGAAUAUACAUUGUGCUUAUUAGUAUUGGCAACUUGUCCUUUAACUGUUGUCUCUGGUGCUUGACAUACAACUUUUAAGGGAGGGAAACAUAACUUGUUCUCGUUUACCCCAGAUUUAUCUGGAGUGUUUAUGUCGCACGCUUCAUUAAAGAAUCGUUUCAUGAAUUUUUAGAUAUCACAGCAGCGCGACUGAAUAAGUGCACAAGAUGAUGGCCGUAAGUAAACAAAUAUUUAAAAAAAAGAGCGGCUUUUACAACA
Schizosaccharomyces pombe (fission yeast) is the source of this 1393-nucleotide non-coding RNA. The record is from the annotation of a GenBank genome assembly. Lineage: Eukaryota; Fungi; Ascomycota; Schizosaccharomycetes; Schizosaccharomycetales; Schizosaccharomycetaceae.